Molecule: non-coding RNA, 1372 nt
Organism: Paramuricea clavata
Lineage: Eukaryota; Metazoa; Cnidaria; Anthozoa; Malacalcyonacea; Plexauridae
Source: the annotation of a GenBank genome assembly
AAUUUUUUUAAAUAAGUUAGGGUUAGGUUAAUAGGGUUAUGGUUAGGUUAGGGUUAGGGUUAAUUUUAAUAUUAGGGUUAGAGUUUAGUUUUGCGCUAGGAUGGUUUUUUCUGCGUUAUAAAAACGGAAAUCUUAUUUUGAAGCAUACUAUCUAGCAAUUACCAAACAAUUACAGGCCCAUUUGUAUAUUUCCGAUUCUAUCUAAACUCCUCGAACGACAUGUUGCCAACUCAUAUGUAAAAUUCCUCACAGAAAAUGAUAUUCUAUCGAGAUGCUAGGAUGGUUUUCGAGCCCAUCACUCUUGUGAAUCUACUCUAAUAUUGAUCUGUGAACACCUUCUCGAUAACAUUGAGCAAGGUUUAAUUAGUGGUAUAGCUCUAAUUGACCUCUCCUCUGGUCGAUCAUAGAUUGCUACUGCAGAAAUUAGAACAAUAUGGCAUUACUCCAACAGCUUUAAAAUGGUUUAAAUCGUAUCUAAAUUAUCGUUACUAAGUAGUACAAAUUGCAUCAUCCCUAUCCAACCCAGCUCUGAUAAAGUCUGGUGUGCCUAUGGUGGAUCUAUACUAGGACCAAUUCUCUUUCUUAUCUUUAUUAACGAUUUACCCAGUUAUGUUGGAAGUUCUAAGCCUUUUUUAUUUAAUUUUUUUUUUUUUUUUUUGGUGUUGUGUACUCAGGUGAAUAAUAUGUUUGUGAUGUUACUCUGAGUGCAUAUCCACACCGGGCGAGCUUGAAAAAAUAUGCCCGGCCACGGUGGGAUUCGAACCUACGACCUUUGGAAUACUAGCCCAAUGCUCUUCCAACUGAGCUACGCGGUCAGGACGGCUCGAGUAAGUGAUAUUUCGGAACAGUAUCUAGUUCCUUCAAUACCAAUGUGUUCUUGUAAUAUGAAUUUUUCUGUGCUGGUGUUGUGUACUCAGGUGAAUAAUAUGAUUGUGAUGUUACUCUGAGUGCAUAUCCACACCGGGCGAGCUUGAAAAAUAUGCCCGGCCACGGUAGGAUUCGAAGCUACGACCUUUGGAAUACUAGCCCAAUGCUCUUCCAACUGAGCUACGCGGUCAGGACGGUUCGAGUAAGUGAUAUUUUGGAACAGUAUCUAGUUCCUUCAAUACUAGGACUUCAAUACUGACUCUACACUAACAUCCGCCGGAUCGGACCUUCACGAACUUAGUGUCUCUCUAAAGUCAGGUAUGACCUCAGUGUCCCGUUGGACUAACCAUAACAAAAUGUCUCUUAAUCCUGGCAAGACAAAAAUAAUGAAAAUAUAUUCCCAAUCUAAAUUCCCUGUUCUUAGUCCAAUAACCAUUGAAGUCAAUAACAAUAAUGUUAAGGAGAUUACAUCCGCCAUUUUACUUGGAGUUACAUUAGACCAACA